GAGUUUGAUCCUGGCUCAGAACGAACGCUAGCGGCGUGCUUAACACAUGCAAGUCGCACGAGAAAUCCCGGGCAACUGGGAGAGUAAAGUGGCGCACGGGUGAGUAGCGCGUGGGUAAUCUACCCUUAAGUUGGGAAUAACACCUCGAAAGGGGUGCUAAUUCCGAAUAACGUCCCUGGGGCCCCGGUCCCGGGGAUCAAAGAUGGCUGAGGCUUGCAAGCUAUUGCUUAAGGAUGAGCCCGCGUACCAUUAGCUAGUUGGUGAGGUAAUGGCCCACCAAGGCUAUGAUGGUUAGCUGGUCUGAGAGGAUGGCCAGCCACACUGGAACUGAGACACGGUCCAGACUCCUACGGGAGGCAGCAGUGAGGAAUCUUGCGCAAUGGGGGCAACCCUGACGCAGCAACGCCGCGUGAGUGAUGAAGGCCUUCGGGUCGUAAAGCUCUGUCAGAUGGGAAGAAAAUUUCGGGCGUAAAUAAUACCCGGAAUCGACGGUACCAUCAAAGGAAGCACCGGCUAACUCCGUGCCAGCAGCCGCGGUAAUACGGAGGGUGCAAGCGUUGUUCGGAAUUAUUGGGCGUAAAGAGCGUGUAGGCGGCCGGGUAAGUCAGAUGUGAAAAUCCUUGGCUUAACCAAGGAAGUGCA
RNAcentral lists this ribosomal RNA (642 nucleotides) under uncultured delta proteobacterium. RNAcentral describes it as "bacterial SSU rRNA". It matches the Rfam family "Bacterial small subunit ribosomal RNA", at positions 9 to 625 of the family's 1533-position model. The record is from RNAcentral. Lineage: Bacteria; Deltaproteobacteria.